RNAcentral lists this ribosomal RNA (249 nucleotides) under uncultured bacterium. RNAcentral describes it as "partial 16S ribosomal RNA". It matches the Rfam family "Bacterial small subunit ribosomal RNA", at positions 524 to 771 of the family's 1533-position model. The record is from RNAcentral.
UACGAAGGGGGCUAGCGUUGUUCGGAAUUACUGGGCGUAAAGCGCGCGCAGGCGGCUAUCCAAGUCAGUGGUGAAAUCCUGGAGCUCAACUCCAGAACUGCCUUUGAUACUGAAGAUCUUGAGUUCGGGAGAGGUGAGUGGAACUGCGAGUGUAGAGGUGAAAUUCGUAGAUAUUCGCAAGGACACCAGUGGCGAAGGCGGCUCACUGGCCCGAUACUGACGCUGAUGCACGAAAGCGUGGGGGAGCAA